This 900-nucleotide ribosomal RNA is filed under the name Colletotrichum fragariae. Its description in RNAcentral is "LSU rRNA". It matches the Rfam family "Eukaryotic large subunit ribosomal RNA", at positions 35 to 965 of the family's 3401-position model. The record is from RNAcentral. RNAcentral also lists the same sequence under 1 other name. Lineage: Eukaryota; Fungi; Ascomycota; Sordariomycetes; Glomerellales; Glomerellaceae.
UAAGCAUAUCAAUAAGCGGAGGAAAAGAAACCAACAGGGAUUGCCUCAGUAACGGCGAGUGAAGCGGCAACAGCUCAAAUUUGAAAUCUGGCCCUAGGCCCGAGUUGUAAUUUGCAGAGGAUGCUUUUGGUGCGGUGCCUUCCAAGUUCCCUAGAACGGGACGCCAGAGAGGGUGAGAGCCCCGUACAGUUGGACACCAAGCCUUUGUAAAGCUCCUUCGACGAGUCGAGUAGUUUGGGAAUGCUGCUCAAAAUGGGAGGUAUAUUUCUUCUAAAGCUAAAUACCGGCCAGAGACCGAUAGCGCACAAGUAGAGUGAUCGAAAGAUGAAAAGCACUUUGAAAAGAGGGUUAAACAGCACGUGAAAUUGUUAAAAGGGAAGCGCUUGUGACCAGACUUGCGUCCGGUGAAUCACCCAGCUCUCGCGGCUGGGGCACUUCGCCGGCUCAGGCCAGCAUCAGCUCGCUGUCGGGGACAAAAGCUUGAGGAACGUAGCUCUCUUCGGGGAGUGUUAUAGCCUGUUGCAUAAUACCCUUCGGCGGGCUGAGGUACGCGCUCCGCAAGGAUGCUGGCAUAAUGGUCAUCAGCGACCCGUCUUGAAACACGGACCAAGGAGUCAACCUUAUGUGCGAGUGUUCGGGUGUCAAACCCCUACGCGUAAUGAAAGUGAACGCAGGUGAGAGCUUCGGCGCAUCAUCGACCGAUCCUGAUGUUCUCGGAUGGAUUUGAGUAAGAGCAUAUAGGGUUGGACCCGAAAGAAGGUGAACUAUGCGUGUAUAGGGUGAAGCCAGAGGAAACUCUGGUGGAGGCUCGCAGCGGUUCUGACGUGCAAAUCGAUCGUCAAAUAUGCGCAUGGGGGGCGAAAGACUAAUCGAACCUUCUAGUAGCUGGUUUCCGCCGAA